RNAcentral lists this ribosomal RNA (438 nucleotides) under uncultured bacterium. Its description in RNAcentral is "partial 16S ribosomal RNA". It matches the Rfam family "Bacterial small subunit ribosomal RNA", at positions 339 to 795 of the family's 1533-position model. The record is from RNAcentral.
CUACGGGGUGCUGCAGUGGGGAAUCUUGAACAAUGGGCGCAAGCCUGAUCCAGCCAUGCCGCGUGAGUGAAGAAGGCCUUAGGGUCGUAAAGCUCUUUCGCCAGAGAUGAUAUGACAGUAUCUGGUAAAGAAACCCCGGCUAACUCCGUGCCAGCAGCCGCGGUAAUACGGAGGGGGUUAGCGUUGUUCGGAAUUACUGGGCGUAAAGCGCGCGUAGGCGGAUUAGUCAGUCAGAGGUGAAAUCCCAGGGCUCAACCCUGGAACUGCCUUUGAUACUGCUAGUCUUGAGUUCGAGAGAGGUGAGUGGAAUUCCGAGUGUAGAGGUGAAAUUCGUAGAUAUUCGGAGGAACACCAGUGGCGAAGGCGGCUCACUGGCUCGAUACUGACGCUGAGGUGCGAAAGUGUGGGGAGCAAACAGGAUUAGAUACCCCUGUAGUC